GUGACAUCACAGAGAACUUCCCAACUUUUCCUUUGACCACUGGAACCUCAGAGGUGACAGCCAAAAGAGAAAAGUAUUAACUCUGAAGAAACUUUAUGAGCCCUCAAACUUCCUGUUAGCAUCUGCCUCCUGAGACUCCAGCCUGCCUCUCUGUGUCACUCAGUUGUCUUUGACACAGUGUGAGCAGAAGUGCCCUACCACCAGAAGUAUAAAGAGCUCACCUUAUAGUUAAGUCUGUUUUUGCAUAGCCAUCAUACUGAGUACUUCUUUGCAGAGCAUGC
Non-coding RNA from Microcebus murinus (gray mouse lemur), 281 nucleotides. Lineage: Eukaryota; Metazoa; Chordata; Mammalia; Primates; Cheirogaleidae. The record is from RefSeq and is a predicted model, not a curated record.